UUGUUGCCUUUGAACAUGACUGUGAACAUGUAACAUAAAGCUACCGGGGAGGAGCUUCCUCCUCGGCCCCAACGGCCUUGGCCCUGUGGUCAGGUGUCGAAAUACGGCGCGGAUUGUCGCCAAGGAACACUGAUUUGCUUAGGCAGACCGCAUCAUGCGGUCAGCUGAGGCCAAAAAAAAAC
This 182-nucleotide unclassified non-coding RNA is filed under the name Cyperus iria. Lineage: Eukaryota; Viridiplantae; Streptophyta; Magnoliopsida; Poales; Cyperaceae. The record is from RNAcentral.